CUUGGCAGGAACCAUGUCCCAGGUAUGGCUGGGGAGCUGGGGAGGGGCCAACAUGGGGGAGGAUGGAGCCUUCAGGGGCUCCUUCCAGGGGCAUCCCCCAUUCACUGGGGGGGGGUGCUUACUCACCGGCAGUGGGGGGGGGCGCUGAGCUGAGAGGGAGGGAGGGGUUGAAGAACAUGGACAUCCCUCAGUCCUGUCUAUCUCUGUCUCUCGCUUUAUCUGCAUUUCCUUUUUAGCUCACUCCCUCUUGUCUCUUCUAGGACAGAAAUUCCUUGUAGACAAGCUACCCCCAUCCCACCCCAAGUCCCUCCACUUCCAAAAGCAGGAAGGUCUCCAUGGCUAGGGAGAGCAGUCAGCUUGCUAGGGACCUGGGAAGAUCCCACAGAUCUCCUCACCUCCUGGGACCAAAAGUGAGCUGGUUGAUGUCCACAAGCCACAUAGUCAGCACAGGCAGGAGACCGUGGCAACUAUUGUGUUUCUCUUUCCAGCAAGUUUUCCCAUUCUCUUUCUCUUGGUAACAAACUCUGAUUCCCCCACAUGGUGGUGGACAUAUGGCCCAGCCUGGCCAAUCACAAUUCUUUAUCUCUGUAGCAACAGUGAUAGGGCCAAGGAAUAGCCAAUCAGAAUCCUUCCCUGAGAUUGAUGCUGGCAGCAAUCCCCCCUUUCACUGCAGAAGCAAGCUGGGGGCUUCCUCAUCUAUUUAAAAAAGAUAUCAGAGGCAAAGGGAAGGGAAAAGUCUCUAAUGACUCCUCCUUCUUAAACCUGCAGAGUAGGCAAAUGUGCCAUAUUAUUAGGAUGACUUUGACCUGUCAGAAGGCCCUGCCCUGUGUUACCUUUGGUUUCCAAAUUAAUGAACUCUUCUUCCAGACUCUUCACUAAGAGCUGUCCUCGUAUGUUCUUGUUCGGCCCUGAUAUUAGCCCCAGGAGGAGGAGACUUUCCUUCUCUCCAAUUUUUUAAAAAUAGACUUUAUUUUUUAGAGCAGUUUUAGGUUUAUAGCAAAACUGAGCAGAAAGUGUAGAAGGUUCCCAUAUACUGCCUGCCCCCUACCCCAGACACCCAGGCAAGCAUAGCCUUCCUCACUGUCUACAUCUCCCACCAGAGUGAUAUAUUUGUUAUCAUUCAUGAACCUCCACUGACACAUCAUUGUCACCCAAAUCCAAAGUUCACAUUAGGGUUCACUCUUGGUGAUGUACAUUCUGUGGGUUUGGACAAAUGUAUAACGCCGUGUAUCCACCAUUAUCGUGUUAUACGGAGUAGUCUCACGGCCCUAAAAAUCCUCUGUGCUCCUUCUACUCAUCCUUCUCUCCCCAAUACCCCUUUGCACCUACUGAAGGACAUCUUGGUUGUUUUGGCAGUUAUGAAUAAAGCUGCUCUAAAUACCCACGUGCAGAUUUAGUAUAGACAUAAGUUUUCAAUUCCUUUGUGUAAAUACCAAGGAGCUUGCUUGCGGGAUCAUAUGGUAAAAGUAUGUUUAUUUUUGCAAGAAGCCACCAAGCUGUCUCACAAAGCGACUGUAUCAUUUUGCAUUCCUACCUGCAAUGAGUGGAACUUCCUGUUGCUCCAUAUCCUUGCCAGCAUUCGGCAUUGUCAGUGUUUUAGAUUUUGGUCAUUCUGCUCUGUGUGCGGUGUUACCUCAUUGUUGUUUCAAUUUACACUUUCAUAAUGGCAUGCGAUUUUGAGCAUCUUUUUUCACAUGCAUAUUUGCCAUCUGUAUAUCCUCUUGCUCAGGUAUCUGUUCACGUCUUUCGCCCAAUUUUUAACGGGCUUGUUCAUUUCAUUGCUGCAUUUUUAUCGGAUGUGUCUUUUACAAAUGUUGUUUCCCACUCUGUGGCUUCUCAUUCUCUUGACUGUGCCUUUCACGGAGCAGAAGUUUUUAAUCAAAUUAUUUCUCUCAUUUAUUUCUUGGGUGACACUGGCUGUGAGCAACUUCUUUUACGUGGAAGCAGACAGAACACAGAGUAAGAAAGGUAGUUCCCUCCCAGUCUCCUGUCAUCCUCCCUCUACCUCAAGGAGAGUCUCAGGUGGGUGCUACCCCAUACCGAACCCCUCUUUGACCCUCACUAAUCUCCCUUAACCCACAGAGGAGCGAGCGGUUCUCAAGCUCAGGGCCCCUGCAAACAACCGUGUUUGGCUUGAAUUUAACAAAGGAGCUUUAUGUCCCAUCUAGCUGUUUCCCAGUAAACGUUCAUAUAAGAGCAAAUCAUGACAGCGGUAGAAAUUUCUUUUAAAUAUAUCUAAGUUGAAGAUGUGAUUUCGUGAAAUCACAUUUAAUGAAAGGUAUUCCAUAAAUGAAAAUGGCAAACAUCAUGGAGGUGAUGCAUAAACACCCACAUACCAGCAUUUGGGAAGCACUCCCUUAAGAAACAUGUUUGUAGGAUUGCAGUGAGGUUGGGCUUGCGUCUGCUGUGUUUGUCCCCCCUCUUUGAUACUUGCUCCCCUCUUCUUUCUUGUCCCCUGGCCUUUUCCUCUAGGAAACAGGACCGGGUGGGGUGGCACCCAACCUUUGCCCCACCCACCCUGCCCGGGCUCUGGAAUGUCUGAGAACCUCUUCCAGGUCAGCGUCCCUGUGGGUCCCCAGUCCACUGGGGGGCGUCCCCACACUGGCCAGAUCUGCCCACACUUGCGCUGUUUGGAUGCGCUGACCUCACACCUUCCACCCUGAGUCCUCAGGGCCCAGGACCAGCACCAAGUUUCGCUUUCUGUCUGCCAGGGCUUCCCACAUCACGUCCUGUUCUCUGCGCCCCAUCUCCCCUACUCCCGACCUCCCAGCAGCCCUGUGACACGAGUACCAACCCCAAGAGGUGGUGAGGCUGGUGAGACCACCUGCAGGACAAGCCGCUGAUCCAGGAUGAUGCAUGCCCUAUGAUGCCGGUGCUUUUAUGAUUCCUGUUGUGCACAUGGGGACACUGAGGCACAGAGCCAUGAAGAAGGCCCGUGGAAGUUCACACAGCAGAUGAGGACCUGGAGGUCCGAGGGGAAAAGACUGGCCCUCAGACCCCCAGCUGCUGGUGGCAGAGGUCUACCUGGAUGACAGAUCCAUCACCAACCUUCCUCAUCCCCAACCAUCUCUUCUCUGGAGCCAGAAAACAGCCAGAAAGACCCUGCUGUUCCAAGGCGCUGUGUUCACUGCCAUAAAUAAGGCCUCGGCCAGCCAGGCUCCUCCUCCUCCCUGGGCCACAUCUCACAGCAGGCCAGGUCUAGGGCGGCCGUGGAGGGAAGGGAGGCUCUCCGACAGUGUGAGUUAUGGGCUCUGGGAAGCCCAUUAGUCACCCAAGCGAGAGAAGUUAACUCCAGCUUAUUAACUCUAAACGUUUAUUAUUCACAUUGAUCACUUCGCAGACAGCACCCACCACCCCACCCCCUUGGAGCCAGCCAGUGCAUUCAGAUCGCAGGAUGGCGAGUGGGCUGAAGGCACUCGCACAUCGAGAAUCCCCAGGGAAUGCAGGUAGGGCACAGAUGGCCCCAGCUGCCCCUUCCAAGAGGGCAAGGAGGGUCUCUCAUUCGUGGCCCUGUCACUCAUCCACUUCCCACUUAUCUGUCAGCCUCUGUUCUGGGCCAACACUUGAACCAAGAGCAGGGGACCCCCAGGUGCACAGACACCGUCUCCAUCGUCCAGGGGGUGGCCACGAGGUGAGGGACGUGGGGCAGAUCGGUGGGGAGGAGCAUAGCUUCAGGGUCUGCCUGGUUUGAUUUCAGGUUCUGCCACUCAGCGGGUGCCCUUGUGUAUAAACCCUGUGACUCUCAGAGACUCCAUUUUGUCAUCUAUAAAAUGGGGACACAUUCAUUCAUUUGACAAAUAUAUACUGAGCACCUACAAUAAAGAACAGAAAAGCUCCCUGCCCUCACGGAAUUCUGGAAAUAGAGACAGACAUAAGGCAACUGAAAAAAAUAGUGUAAUUUCAGAUGGCGGUGAGUGCAAUGAAGAAAAUAACCCUGAGUCGCGUGGAAGAGAGGGACUAGGGGCAUUGGGGGGUAUUACUGGGGGUGCUCAGGGAUGGCCUCUCCAAGGAUGUGGCCUUUGAACUGAGACCUGAAUUAUGGGGAGGGGCCACCAGGAGGAGACCUGGGCCAAGGGGAGUCCAGGCAGAGGGAGCAAAUAGCAAGGACAAAGGAAGAUCGUGAUUCCCGGCAAUGCUUGGCUGCAGGGCAACCAGAGAGGAGCCAGGGCGGCUGAGUUAAGUGAGAUGAGGGAAGAGAGAAACGGGGGGUCAGCCAUCUUUUUAAGAACUUCAGCUUUUGUUCUUGGUGCAAUGGGGAGCUGCUGGGUGGUUUUAGGUUGAAACGGUCACUAGGAACAUAACCAUACUUGACCUCCCUCCAUAGUUAUUAUGAACUGUAGUGGACACUGGGGUCCCCGCUCUGCUCUGCAUUACGGGACAGGGCUUCCUGUCCCCCAGGUGCAGUGAAGUUGGCUGCUAACGGCCAACAGCUGUCCCCUUCUCCUGAGCAUUGCCCUUGGCUACCAUUCUUCUCCAGUGUGGGCCCCCUGGCCUCUAACGGGGGCCAAAUCUGUGGUGUGCUUUGCAAGCCAGGGCUCUCUGGUGUCGUGGUGGGGCCGGGUGAAGGCCAGUCUCCAGCAGGGACCAUAGUUUCUGGCCUUGCCUGGUGCUUUGCUCCUGUGCUCCCUGCAUCCCUCACUUCCUGCUGAGAGUGUGUCUUUGAUAUAAUCCACGUGCACCUGGACCCCUGACUCAGGCUCUGCUGCGAGGGGUCCCCAACUUGAGACGAGGAUUAGAUCAGACAGUGACCAUAAAGGCUGAACCCCAUGCCUGCCACACACAGCAGUGACUUAAGGCUGCCAACUUGUCCUGAUUUGCCCAAGACAUUCGUGGCUAUAGCACUGAAGGUCCUGCAUCCCAGGAAACCCCUCAGUCCUGGGCAAAGCAGGACAGUUGGUCAUUGGAGGUAACUGCUGACAGGCUUCAUUCAUUCAUUCAUUCAUUCAUUCAUCAAAUACCUCCCGGGGUCUCUCAGUGCCAGGCUCUGUCAGUGGAGCCAUGACAGGGUCCCAUCCUCACAGAGUUCACAGGAGGCAGGCAGUAUCAUCAGAUGUUUGCUUGGGCCUGCAAGAAGUCAGGAGAGCCGUCCUGGGUGGUGAGGUGGAGGCUGUCCCUGAGGGCAAAGUUGCUGUCCAGUGAAUGGGGGCGGGGGCUGGGGAGGUUGGGCAGAGCUCCCACCCUGGUGAGCCGAUCAGGAAAGAAGCCCUGACCUUCAGAUCUACAAAUGCAGAGAGAGGCCAUGAGCAGCAGGUUCUUGGGUCCCAUCACCCCUGCCCUCAACUGCUCCAGGCCUCAGUUUCCCCCUGUGAGAAGUUCCCUCCAGCCUCAGCAGGAAGCUGAGAAUGUGUGCAAAGCAAUGACUCCUUUGGGAGGAGUGCUCUGAGGACACCGAGGCCCCUGGGCCACCAGUUCAGAUGGUUACGCCAGGACAGGGAGCCAGCAGGCACUGUACUGGUCUCUGAAGCCCCACAACAACCCUGUCAAACAGGCCUGUUCUUUCCAUUUUACAGACGAGGAAACUGAGGCUUAAAGUGGAGCACUGACUUGCACAGAGUCCCGCAGCCAGCGAGUAGUGGAGCCGGGGCAGGGUCCAGGGGCUCUCAGGCUCCACGGCCGCUGAGCCACUUGGGUAAUUCAAGAAGAUAAGGAAGGCAUCAUCACCUCCAUCUGAUUCAUUGCUUUACACACUCCCCUCUUCUCCACGCUUACAGGGGAGAGCGAAUGAGAGCGCAGGUCCUGGUGCCGCCCUGCCUGGGUCCGGGCCCCAGCUCCACCAACGCAGAAGCUGGGGGACCAAAGGUAAGUGACUUACCCCUUCUGUGCCCUGAGUUCCUCAUCUCUCAAAGAGGAGAGAUCUCAACAGCACCUCCUCCAGGGGUUGUUAUGAAGAUCAAAAGAGCUAAUAUAUGGAAAGCACUCACAGCAGAGCCUAGCAUAUCGUCUCAGCUAUUAUUGCUUGUUUUAUUACUAUGACUCAGUACAAUGCAAGUCAUAAUAAUAAAACAUUGGAAACAACCCGAAUGUUCAGCAGUAGGGGAGUUAUUAAACCACCAUGAUUUAUCGAUUUCAGUGGACACAACAGUAAUUAAGACAGGUGGUCU
Long non-coding RNA from Felis catus (domestic cat), 6101 nucleotides. RefSeq lists it as uncharacterized. The transcript is spliced from 3 exons. NCBI's taxonomy places the organism in Eukaryota, Metazoa, Chordata, Mammalia, Carnivora, Felidae. The record is from RefSeq and is a predicted model, not a curated record.